RNAcentral lists this ribosomal RNA (237 nucleotides) under uncultured bacterium. RNAcentral describes it as "partial 16S ribosomal RNA". It matches the Rfam family "Bacterial small subunit ribosomal RNA", at positions 118 to 352 of the family's 1533-position model. The record is from RNAcentral.
UGAGGAACAUGACCUUCGGCGGGGGAUAGCCGGCCCAACGGCCGGGUAAUACCGCGUACGACCACAUGGGGACAUCCCUGAGUGGUGAAAGCAGCAAUGCGCCGAUGGAGUGCCUCGCGGCCUAUCAGCUAGUAGGUGAGGUAACGGCUCACCAAGGCGACGACGGGUAGCCGGCCUGAGAGGGUGACCGGCCACACUGGGACUGAGACACGGCCCAGACUCCUACGGGAGGNAGCG